RNAcentral lists this transfer RNA (626 nucleotides) under Xenococcus spongiosum TAU-MAC 0615. RNAcentral describes it as "partial contains 16S ribosomal RNA, 16S-23S ribosomal RNA intergenic spacer, and 23S ribosomal RNA". The stretch from base 295 to 367 matches the Rfam family "tRNA". The record is from RNAcentral. Lineage: Bacteria; Bacillati; Cyanobacteriota; Cyanophyceae; Pleurocapsales; Xenococcaceae.
AAAGGGAGACCUACUCACAGAACGAAAGCAAAAAGCGAAUAGUUUUGAAUGAGACAUCCCAGAAAGGUCGUACAGGAAAAGUUGAAAGUCAACUCGCGCGUUCAUUAGCAGAUUGAAAAUCUGCAGGGUCACUCGAAAAAAAUUCUUCAAACUAGAGACUGGGUUCGUAAAAGAUAGCGAACCAAAAGGGCUAUUAGCUCAGGUGGUUAGAGCGCACCCCUGAUAAGGGUGAGGUCCCUGGUUCAAGUCCAGGAUGGCCCACUGAUCAGUUAGAUAAUAACUGAUAACUGAAGAGGGGGUAUAGCUCAGCUGGUAGAGCGCCUGCUUUGCAAGCAGGAUGUCAGCGGUUCAAAUCCGCUUACCUCCACCACAAAGAAGGAAAAGAGAGAAUCAUCAGCAUCGGCACUAAUUAGAAGUGAGAAUGCUGGGGAUUAAACUCCAGUAAGAACCUUGAAAACUGCAUAAAGAAAGAGAAAAGUCAAAAAGAUUAACUAAAACCAGAACCAGGUUAAGGUAUGUUUUUGGGAAUAGGCUGAACUUAUAGUUCAAGUUUGUGAACAAGAGCAUAUCGAAAAAGUAGUCCGAAAAUAGCAGGUCAAGCUAGAAAGGGCUAACGGUGGAUACUA